Molecule: ribosomal RNA, 492 nt
Filed under: uncultured bacterium
Lineage: Bacteria
Description: partial 16S ribosomal RNA
Rfam family: Bacterial small subunit ribosomal RNA
Source: RNAcentral
AGUGAACGCUGGCGGCAGGCCUAACACAUGCAAGUCGAACGGCAGCACAGUAAGAGCUUGCUCUUACGGGUGGCGAGUGGCGGACGGGUGACGAAUACAUCGGAAUCUUCUCUUUCGUGGGGGAUAACGUAGGGAAACUUACGCUAAUACCGCAUACGACCUACGGGUGAAAGCAGUGGAUCUUCGCACCUUUGGCGAUUGAAUGAGCCGAUGUCGGAUUAGCUGGUUGGCAGGGUAAAGGCCCACCAAGGCGACGAUCCGUAGCUGGUCUGAGAGGAUGAUCAGCCACACUGGAACUGAGACACGGUCCAGACUCCUACGGGAGGCAGCAGUGGGGAAUAUUGGGCAAUGGGCGCAAGCCUGAUCCAGCCAUACCGCGUGGGUGAAGAAGGCCUUCGGUUUGUAAAGCCCUUUUGUUGGGAAAGAAAAGCAGCAGGUUAAUACCCCGCUGUUCUGACGGUACCCAAAGAAUAAGCACCGGCUAACUUCGUG